RNAcentral lists this transfer RNA (72 nucleotides) under Bos taurus (domestic cattle). It matches the Rfam family "tRNA". From Rfam's summary of the family: Transfer RNA (tRNA) molecules are approximately 80 nucleotides in length. Their secondary structure includes four short double-helical elements and three loops (D, anti-codon, and T loops). Further hydrogen bonds mediate the characteristic L-shaped molecular structure. tRNAs have two regions of fundamental functional importance: the anti-codon, which is responsible for specific mRNA codon recognition, and the 3' end, to which the tRNAs corresponding amino acid is attached (by aminoacyl-tRNA synthetases). tRNAs cope with the degeneracy of the genetic code in two manners: having more than one tRNA (with a specific anti-codon) for a particular amino acid; and 'wobble' base-pairing, i.e. permitting non-standard base-pairing at the 3rd anti-codon position. RNAcentral also lists the same sequence under 2 other names. Lineage: Eukaryota; Metazoa; Chordata; Mammalia; Artiodactyla; Bovidae. The record is from Rfam by way of RNAcentral.
UCCCUGAUAGCUCAGCUGGUAAAGAAUCUGCAUGCAUUGCAGGAGACCCUGGUUCGAUUCCAGGUCGGGAUG